AAGAAAAGUCCCAAUCUUCCAAAUCAUUUUUCCUCCUUUCAUCUUCAACCUUUCUCUAUCUCUCAUACACUUCUUUUUCUCUCACUUCACCACCAAAUGGAAGACUUCUGGAAAAGAGUGAAGACAUUCGCCGAAGAAGCCGCAAAAAAAAUCCCAAUCUCUAACAACCUCCUUCGCCACUUCUCGAAUCGCCGAUCUCGUCUCCGAAACCGCCAAGAAAUCCAAAGAACUCGCCGCUGAAGAAAGCAAAUGAGAUCAAAUCCGCCGCUCUCCGUCAAGCCGAUCAGAUCAAGUCCUUUUCCGAUAACAUCUCCAUUCCUCCUCAAUUCUCCGCCAUUGCAGAUAGAUAUGAUAAGGACAUGAUAAACCUUAAUCCUAUCAUGUGUUUGAUGCGCACAUGAUAACAAACAAGAUAUCAUUAUAAUUAAAUGAAAAAAUUGCUCUCAUAAUUAAUUAAAUAUUGUAAAAGUGACAUGUUAUUAAUUAUAAUAGAAAAUACAUGCUAUCAUUAUUUUAAAAAUGACAAUAUUUCAAAAAUGGUAGAAUAUUUGGAAAGCGGAAAGGCACGGACGUUACUCUGUCCGUAGUGCUACAGGUUAUGUGUAUCAGAACUUAUUGAUUCCUCUUAUAACUGGCGACCGGGGUAUUGGUCGGGUAUUUGGAAUCUAAAAGUUCCACCGAAAGUCAAGAAUUUAAUUUGGCACAUUUGUCGUGGUUGUUCACCGACUCGUGUCCGUUUAUUGGACAAAGGUGUUACUUGCCCAACUAAUUGCGCUAGCUGCGCAUCCAAUCAUGAAGAUCUUAUGCAUGUUUUCUUUGCUUGUCCUUUUGCUUUACAAGUUUGGCACAUAACAGGACUUUGGGGUUCGGUACAACACGCCCUUUCUACUACUGCCUCAGCUUCAGAAGCUAUAUUUUACCUCUUAAAGACUUUGUCUAUUGCAUUAACACAAAGUCUGUCAUCUGUAUUAUGGAGUAUAUGGAAGCACCGCAAUCUCCGAGUGUGGGAUGAUGCAAUAGAAACGAGUGCCACAAUUGUCGAACGUGCUAGAAACAUGGUUGCAGACUGGCAACUAGCAAAUGCUUUAGAUGUUCUUGCAUCUAGAUCGCAUCAUCAACCCACAACGGCCUCCACCUCUCAACAACAGCAAAUCACGUGGCAACCUCAUGUGGUCGGGAGAUACAAAUGUAAUAUAGAUGCAGUUUUUUCAUCUAACAUUAACCGUACAGGUAUUAAUAUUUGUGUUAGCGAUGCAGAAGGUACUUUUGUUCUGGCUAAUACUGUGAGAUACCCUUAUACCGUUCUGCUGGAUAUGGGUGAAGCUUUAGGGUUGCACUCUGCUAUGCAAUGGUUGAGUGAUAUGCAGUUUGAUAAUGUGGAUUUUAAAACAGACUUAGACUCUAAGUUGACAGCUGAUGCUUUCCUUUCAACCAAGAACGACUUAUCCGAAUUUGGCUGCAUUAUUUCAUCUUGUCGUUCUUUGUUUAGUACCUUUUUCUCUAACUCUAGGGUGGAGUUUAUUAGGCGACAAGCCAAUGGGGUCCCUCAUGCUCUUGUAAUAGAGGUCACAUCUUUAGCUAGUCAUGCCGUUUAUUUUGAAAUACCCAAUUGUAUUGAAACUCUUAUUAAUGAAAUGUUAUAAGCAUGUUUCCCUAAAAAAAAAAAAAAGAUAAUGAAUAAGAAAUGAUAUUCUAAUCUCAUCAGGAUAAUUUAUAACUCAGUUUAUAUUCAGGAUAGAAAUUACAUAGGAAAGUGAGGAUAAUAUAGGAAAAUGAGAUUUUAUCCUAUCCAUUUGGUGCAUCAAACAUGAAAUUUAAACAGGAUAUGAUUAAAUCCCUAUCCUGACCGUCUAACGGACAUUAUAUAACAUAUAAAUUUUUCUUCGUUUAGAAAAGAAAAAAUAUAAUAAAUUUCCCAACAAAAGAGAUUAUUAAAAACUUCGCACCAAUUCAACAAAAAAUAAAGGAAAACAAAUCAUAUUUCCUCUUCAAAAAACAGAGUGAAAUGAUCCCUACAUACAUAUUAGCUCACACGUCCCCGUUACAAUACGUCGCCGUAUCCUCUUAAAAGAAAAGUCCCAAUCUUCCAAAUCCUUUUUCCUCCUUUCAUCUUCAACCUUUCUCUAUCUCUCACACUUCACCACCACCAAAUGGAAGACUUCUGGAAAAGAGCGAAGACAUUCGCCGAAGAAGCCGCAAAAAAAUCCCAAUCUCUAACCACCUCCUCCGCCACUUCUCGAAUCGCCGAUCUCGUCUCCGAAACCGCCAAGAAAUCCAAAGAACUCGCCGCCGAAGCUUCCAAGAAAGCAGAUGAGAUCAAAUCCGCCGCUCUCCGUCAAGCCGAUCAGAUCAAGUCCUUUUCCGAUAACAU
This 2371-nucleotide long non-coding RNA is filed under the name Medicago truncatula (barrel medic). RNAcentral describes it as "long non-coding RNA (MTRU_LNC003195)". The record is from RNAcentral. Lineage: Eukaryota; Viridiplantae; Streptophyta; Magnoliopsida; Fabales; Fabaceae.